UACGUAGGAGGCGAGCGUUGUCCGGAAUCACUGGGCGUAAAGGGUGCGUAGGCGGGUUUUUAAGUCAGGGGUGAAAUCCUGGAGCUCAACUCCAGAACUGCCUUUGAUACUGAGGAUCUUGAGUUCGGGAGAGGUGAGUGGAACUGCGAGUGUAGAGGUGAAAUUCGUAGAUAUUCGCAAGAACACCAGUGGCGAAGGCGGCUCACUGGCCCGAUACUGACGCUGAGGCACGAAAGCGUGGGGAGCAAACAGG
Molecule: ribosomal RNA, 253 nt
Filed under: uncultured bacterium
Lineage: Bacteria
Description: partial 16S ribosomal RNA
Rfam family: Bacterial small subunit ribosomal RNA
Source: RNAcentral